Molecule: ribosomal RNA, 433 nt
Filed under: uncultured bacterium
Lineage: Bacteria
Description: partial 16S ribosomal RNA
Rfam family: Bacterial small subunit ribosomal RNA
Source: RNAcentral
AGCGAACGCUGGCGGCAGGCCUAACACAUGCAAGUCGAACGAACUCUUCGGAGUUAGUGGCGGACGGGUGAGUAACACGUGGGAACGUGCCUUUUGGUUCGGAAUAACUCAGGGAAACUUGUGCUAAUACCGAAUGUGCCCUUCGGGGGAAAGAUUUAUCGCCAUUCGGGCGGCUCGCGUCUGAUUAGCUAGUUGGUGAGGUAACGGCUCACCAAGGCGACGAUCAGUAGCUGGUCUGAGAGGAUGACCAGCCACACUGGGACUGAGACACGGCCCAGACUCCUACGGGGGGCAGCAGUGGGGAAUCUUGCGCAAUGGGCGAAAGCCUGACGCAGCCAUGCCGCGUGAAUGAUGAAGGUCUUAGGAUUGUAAAAUUCUUUCACCGGGGACGAUAAUGACGUUACCCAGAGAAGAAGCCCCGGCUAACUUCGUG